This 497-nucleotide ribosomal RNA is filed under the name uncultured bacterium. Its description in RNAcentral is "partial 16S ribosomal RNA". It matches the Rfam family "Bacterial small subunit ribosomal RNA", at positions 28 to 507 of the family's 1533-position model. The record is from RNAcentral.
GAUGAACGCUGGCGGCGUGCCUAAUACAUGCAAGUCGAGCGAACAGACGAGGAGCUUGCUCCUCUGACGUUAGCGGCGGACGGGUGAGUAACACGUGGAUAACCUACCUAUAAGACUGGGAUAACUUCGGGAAACCGGAGCUAAUACCGGAUAAUAUAUUGAACCGCAUGGUUCAAUAGUGAAAGACGGUUUUGCUGUCACUUAUAGAUGGAUCCGCGCCGCAUUAGCUAGUUGGUAAGGUAACGGCUUACCAAGGCGACGAUGCGUAGCCGACCUGAGAGGGUGAUGGGCCACACUGGAACUGAGACACGGUCCAGACUCCUACGGGAGGCAGCAGUAGGGAAUCUUCCGCAAUGGGCGAAAGCCUGACGGAGCAACGCCGCGUGAGUGAUGAAGGUCCUCGGAUCGUAAAACUCUGUUAUUAGGGAAGAACAAAUGUGUAAGUAACUAUGCACGUCUUGACGGUACCUAAUCAGAAAGCCACGGCUAACUACGUG